Molecule: ribosomal RNA, 457 nt
Filed under: uncultured bacterium
Lineage: Bacteria
Description: partial 16S ribosomal RNA
Rfam family: Bacterial small subunit ribosomal RNA
Source: RNAcentral
GAUGAACGCUGGCGGCGUGCCUAAUACAUGCAAGUCGUACGGAAAGGCCCUUCGGGGUACUCGAGUGGCGGACGGCUGAGUAACGCGUGGGAACGUGCCCCAAAGUGAGGGAUAACGCACCGAAAGGUGUGCUAAUACCGCAUAUGGUCUUCGGAUUAAAGCUUCGGCGCUUUGGGAGCGGCCCGCGUACGAUUAGAUAGUUGGUGAGGUAAUGGCUCACCAAGUCGACGAUCGUUAGCUGGUCUGAGAGGAUGAUCAGCCAGACUGGGACUGAGACACGGCCCAGACUCCUACGGGAGGCAGCAGUAAGGAAUCUUCCACAAUGGGGGCAACCCUGAUGGAGCAACGCCGCGUGCAGGAUGAAGGUUAUCGGCUCGUAAACUGCUUUUAUAAGUGAAGAAUAUGACGGUAACUUAUGAAUAAGGAUCGGCUAACUACGUGUCAGCCGCCGCAGUAA